RNAcentral lists this ribosomal RNA (1241 nucleotides) under metagenome. RNAcentral's name for it is "bacterial LSU rRNA". It matches the Rfam family "Bacterial large subunit ribosomal RNA", at positions 1564 to 2815 of the family's 2925-position model. The record is from RNAcentral.
UGAUGACGAGACGCUAAGGCGUUGAAGCAGUGUAUGUCAGACUUCCAAGAAAAGCUCGCAAUGUCACAAAUAAAAGAUGCCUGUACCAUAACCGACACAGGUGGGUAGGUAGAGUAUACUAAGGGGCGCGAGAUAACUCUCUCUAAGGAACUCGGCAAAAUGUCUCCGUAACUUCGGGAGAAGGAGUGCCUUAUUUAUAAGGUUGCAAUAACAAGAUCCAAGCAACUGUUUAUCAAAAACACAGGUCUCCGCUAAGUCGUAAGACGAUGUAUGGGGGCUGACGCCUGCCCAGUGCCAGAAGGUUAAAGAAGUUGGUUAGUGUAUGCGAAGCUGAUGACUGAAGCCCUGGUGAACGGCGGCCGUAACGAUAACGGUCCUAAGGUAGCGAAAUUCCUUGUCGGGUAAGUUCCGACCCGCACGAAAGGCGUAAUGAUUUGGAUACUGUCUCGGAGAGAGGCUCGGUGAAAUAGACUUGUCUGUGAAGAUGCGGACUACCUGCACCAGGACAGAAAGACCCUAUGAAGCUUUACUGUAACUUGAAAUUGGAAUUGGACUUUGCUUGCGCAGUAUAGGUGGGAAGCGUUGAAAAUAUUCUUGCGGGAGUAUUGGAGCUAUCAGUGAGAUACCACUCUUGUAAUGUUAGAUUUCUAACUUUGAACCAUAAUCUGGUCAAAGAACAGUUUCAGGUGGGCAGUUUGACUGGGGCGGUCGCCUCCCAAAUGGUAACGGAGGCGUACAAAGGUUUCCUCUGAACGGAUAGAAAUCGUAUCUAGAGUGUAAAGGCAUAAGGAAGCUUGACUGUGAGACCUACAAGUCGAGCAGGGACGAAAGUCGGUCUUAGUGAUCUGACGGUACUGAGUGGAAAGGCCGUCACUCAACGGAUAAAAGUUACUCUAGGAUAACAGGCUGAUCUCCCCCAAGAGUUCACAUCGACGGGGAGGUUUGGCACCUCGAUGUCGGCUCAUCGCAUCCUGGGGCGGUAGUACGUCCCAAGGGUUGGGCUGUUCGCCCAUGAAAGCGGUACGCGAGCUGGGUUCAGAACGUCGUGAGACAGUUCGGUCCAUAUCCGGUGUAGGCGCUAGAAUAUUGAGAGGAGCCUUCUUUAGUACGAGAGGACCGAGAAGGACACACCGCUGGUGUACCAGUUAUCGUGCCAACGGUAAACGCUUGGUAGCUAUGUGUGGAGUGGAUAACCGCUGAAAGCAUCUAAGUGGGAAGCCCACCUCGAGAUGAGUAUUCAC